CUCAAUUUCCAUCUUCUUCACCCUAAUUCUUCAAUUGAUUCCCUUAUUUACUCAAUCAGGUACACUUUCAUUGAAUUUUGUGGUUACUUUUUUGUUUAAUUUGAAAGAUUUAGGGUUUCUUUUUUUGGGUUUGGGAUUUGGUGAGAAAUUACGUGAAUUAGGUCACUAAUUUCCAAUAAUUUAGAACAAUGAGGGGGUGAGUGUGCGUAAUAUUUUGCUAGGGAUUAUGAAUUUGUUUUUGUUAAUUUUGCGCAGAUUUUUUUUGUUCUGACAUUGUGUUCAUUUGAAUGUUCUGUUGCAGUGGUUUGGCUGAAUUGAGUCUCGUUUGGGAGUAAGAAGAUUUACUCCGAUGGCGAAUAUGCCGGAGAAAUUGAACCAGUGUAAGCUUGAUGCUCGCCGUGAACAAUGCCUUUCGCAAGGUCCUGCAUUCAUUUUCUUUUCUUUUUUUGAUUUUUACAGUUCUGUAUUUUUCUUGCAUAAAUUAAAUUGGAAUCUUGCAUCCACUAAUUAUCUAGAGCUUGCUCUCUUUUUUUCAUUCACAAUGAAUUUCCUGGGCCCUUUGAUUGUAUUGGCAUAUCUUUCCUUUUAUAUAUUGUGACUGUCAGGAAGACGUAGGAUAACCUUGGUUAUUAUGGGUGCUUCAUAUGUAACCAUAUCUAACUUGGAUGUUGGAUAACCUUUAUUUUUGGUUGUUUCUGGUUGGUAGUCUUUGUGAUGAUCAGUUGGGAAGUGUAUAUAUGCCUGCUUGCUAUGGUUGUUUUAUUAUUAAUGAAACUUGCAAGUGUCCUGAGGUUUGUGAUGAUCAGUUGGGAAGUUGUUUAUUCUAAUGAAACAGAGAGCAGGUUGCGUAGGUUGUACUAUGGCUAUCAUGAAGAAUGUUUUAAGGUGUCUUUCGGAUCUUUUACCUGUUUGCUGUUGCUUUUCUGCUGAUCUACCAGUCACUUUUCCAUCUAUUUCACCAGCUUAGCUGCAAUUUUCUUCGAUGGAGGUUGUAGGAGUUGAAAUUCUCUCUCUGACAGAACUAUUAGCCAUUUCUUGGACUGGAUUUGGCUGUUGAUGAAAUGACUCUGCAUCAUAUUGUAGGAUUGCAUUAAGUGAUUCUUGUACUAACUUUAUGGCUGCAGUCUGUUGCAGUCCAAGUUUCUCUGUCUUUGCAACUUGGUCAUCAACUUCCUAGAGAUUGUUGCUGUUUUUACUCAGCUCCAUAUUCAAGUUACUCAUCUCAUGGCUAUUGUUUCCAUCUCCACUUUCUUUUUCAUCUGCUUGAAUGAUAU
This is a long non-coding RNA of Spinacia oleracea (spinach), 1274 nucleotides long. RefSeq lists it as uncharacterized. The record is from RefSeq and is a predicted model, not a curated record. NCBI's taxonomy places the organism in Eukaryota, Viridiplantae, Streptophyta, Magnoliopsida, Caryophyllales, Amaranthaceae. The transcript is spliced from 3 exons.